Molecule: long non-coding RNA, 225 nt
Filed under: Arachis ipaensis
Lineage: Eukaryota; Viridiplantae; Streptophyta; Magnoliopsida; Fabales; Fabaceae
Description: long non-coding RNA (AIPA_LNC000969)
Source: RNAcentral
GGUGGUGGUUUGGCGCAGAACAAGAAGCACAUUGAACGCAGUGGAGAAGCAUGCGUGGAGAAGAGCACCAUGCCGUGGAGGAACGCACGGCGCCAUGGAGGAUAGAACCGCGCCGUGGAGAAGUGCACCGCACAAUGGAAAAGAGUGUCGAGUUAUAUUGUCGCUGUUAGGUUCGUCAAUUGGAGCUAGCAGUAGAGAAUGGGUGUUUGAAUGAAUAUAAGGGAA